GAGCGUUCAGACAGACGACACUGAUAUUGACAUCAUGAUUCGUGAACGCAAAUUUUAUGGAAGAAAUGAGAUGCAGCAACUACACAAAUUCUUGGAUGCAGCUAGGACAAUGUAGGAUAUCUUCAAUCUAGGACACUAAAGACAAGAUGGGCUAGUUAUCAAAUUUGACCUCCCCUAUAUCAUGCAGGAAGGUACAUGUACAUGGAUGUUUAAAAAAUUCCACAAAUGGUGAAGAAAAUGGCAAGGGAAGACGCCUGGUAAAUGUUUCAAGUAAAAUUCAGCAAUUGAGUUUCUGGAAAGCCAAGCAUACAUAACCAAAGGAUAUUUUCAUAGAAUGGACUUCUGUAGGCCAAAAAAAUAAAGACAACGUCAAGAAGAGUGACAUUUAGAAGAAAGAACAUUCAAUUAAUAAUGUUAUUAUGUCAACAACAAAAACAUAAAUGUUGAUUGUAACGUUUUGAGAAUGCUGUAAAUAAAAGUAGAGUGAAAUCAAAAUCCAAGUUUUUUUUCAAAUUUAUAUUCUGCAACAAAUAGACAACAGAGAGAAAAAAUAUAAAUAUAUUCUUAAGCAGAUUUAUUGACUUUUUCAUUUAAUAUGUUUAAAAACAAUUAUACAAUCUCAGAUCAUUUAACAUGCAAGGGACACAACUUCAAAAUUGUAUUUAAAUUGAUGCUAAAGGAACCAUUAAUACACUUUUUGGGUUUUCCUUUUCAUAUUACAUGUAUUAUAUGCAUAA
Mytilus trossulus (common blue mussel) is the source of this 737-nucleotide long non-coding RNA. RefSeq lists it as uncharacterized. The record is from RefSeq and is a predicted model, not a curated record. Lineage: Eukaryota; Metazoa; Mollusca; Bivalvia; Mytilida; Mytilidae. The transcript has 4 exons.